RNAcentral lists this transfer RNA (73 nucleotides) under Candidatus Omnitrophota bacterium. Its description in RNAcentral is "tRNA-Thr". It matches the Rfam family "tRNA". Rfam says of the family: Transfer RNA (tRNA) molecules are approximately 80 nucleotides in length. Their secondary structure includes four short double-helical elements and three loops (D, anti-codon, and T loops). RNAcentral also lists the same sequence under 1 other name. The record is from RNAcentral. Lineage: Bacteria; Pseudomonadati; Candidatus Omnitrophota.
GCCGGCGUAGCUCAGUUGGCAGAGCAGGUCAUUCGUAAUGAUCAGGUCGAAGGUUCGACUCCUUUCGCCGGCU